AAAGGUAUAGGGACAGCAGCCAAGGCGAGGGCGGGGCGAAGUCUCGGGGCUGGAGAGGAGAGGUCCGCAGUAAGUGGCCGGCCAGUGGCGGGCUACUGAAGAAGAACGUAGGGCAGGGAUCCCCUCCUGGCGCAGCGGAGGUAGUGGGAGGCAUAGUUUUUGGCAAUAGCCAGCCAAGGAUACAGGGAACAGGUGCGGCGCCUGCACGCUGACUUCACGUGGUGGAUGUCUGGCUGAGAGAGAAGUAGGAAAUCCUCACAACGCUUCUUCCAGCUUUGAUCUGCCUGGGGCAGCCCGUGGUGGAAGAUGACUCUGUAGCCCUGGUGUCUACCAGUAUCCGGAGUGGGAGCCCCAAGAGCCAUGUAGACAGGCACCCAGCACUGUGCCAGCUAUGUGGGAGUUGGCUGGCUCUGGGGACGAGCUGUUGGCAGUGCAGGUGGCUGGCGACAAGGAUGGAGUGUGAGGCCUCGAGACAGGAUGGCAGGCAGCACAGAAGCCUCCGCACUCAGCAGAGCUGCGGUCCUGGCUGCUCUGAGGCUCCAUGGAGGUGGGGGAUGCGAGGAAUUCUUUCUGAAAGAGAGAUCUGACCAGAGAGAUGCGACAACUACAUGUAAGGUGGACAGAGUCCUUAGGCAGCGUUGGAAUUACUAUCCGAAGCAUGUGUAAAUGGCUGGCUGAGUAACUGGGGCGCAGGAAGGAGAGGACCUGCCCCUUCUGUCUUCUCUUCUGCUAGCCUCAGACACCCUGAGUCAGGCGAGGGCCCACUGCUCCCUUGAUGGAGACUACAGGAGGACUCGGAAUCCUCUGGGAGUGGAGUUACAGCUGGUUGAGAGCCACGUGAGUGCUGGGAAUCAACCUUGGAACCUCUGGAAAAAGCGGCGAGUCAACCACAACCCAUCGCUCAAGCCCCAUUGCUGGGCCUGGUGACAACGCAUGUCAGUCCUGCCUCAGCCCCCUGAAUGCAUGUUUACAGAUGUGCACCAGAGCACCUGACUCAAGUUUUAAACGAUCAUUUUGAGCACUCCUUCUCAUGGCCAUUUCCCUGUAAAUCAGCAGAGACACUGGGGAAUGGAGCAGUUUGACUCCCAUGGCUGCUGGAGUCUCCUUUACUGCCCCGUCUGUCUUGAGCAACACUGGGCUCUGUCUGUUCUUGUCUGCUUUUAGAGUGGGCUGAGCUGGUAACAUAAAGGAGCAACAGCUGAGUGGCGGUGAUGACGCCUUUAAUCCCAGCCCUCAGGAGGCAGAGGUAGGCAGAUUUCUGAGUCUCAGGCCAGCCUGGGCUACAGAAAAAAAAAAAGGGAAGGAAGAAAAAAGCAGCAGCAGAGACUGCAAAGUGACCAGAGAGCUAAGCAGCCGGCAGGGCAGGCUACCAAAGCAGCAAGAUGGCGGCCACAGGGCAGCUAAAAAGACAAGAGUUGACAGCUGGCAGAAUGGCCAGCUGCCCUGACAGCAGCAGAAGCAAAAGCAGCCGUGAGCACACUCCAGAACCCAGAGGUCAUCAUGGUCAGGACUACUUGGCCUAAGACCUGAAGAGACUCCAGGGGAGAAGCCAUUUCCUGCCCACCCCAAAUGAUGGUGACUCCAGCUUCCCGUAAGAUCUGACGAUGAUCUGCCUCAGUUUCAAAAGCAAGCCAAAAGGGUUAAGAGCUUUUCCUGCAAGGCCCCGCUCGAGCAUCCCAGCCCCGGGCUUGCCAGGGUGAGCUUUUCCUUUGCUUACACUCAUCGAUUCAGGCCAGGCCUGCCUUCACCACACUCCCCACACCAUCUAAGAUGAGGAGAACUGGGAGACUCGUGUGUCGGUCCGGCUGUGCUGAGUCCAGAGUGCCCCCUGGUGGACACUGGUAGCCCUCUAAAUCUGAAUCUCUUCAUUGGGGCAGAGCCUCUAGGCUUGUGCUAAGGCAGGCUACCAGCUCAAUCCAGCGGGAGCUAGAUGCAAGCCAGUCUGGGAAAGAAGAAAGGCAAGGCCAGCAUUCCUGAGCAGCAGGACAUAGCUGUCCUACUCUAAAGGCUGUCUGUCUGCUCAACCUUCAUCAACCUUCACACAGAGACACAAGGGCCUCCAGGAACCAGAAGACGGCAACUCCUUUAAGCCAGCAGUUCUCAGCCUAUGGGUCGUGACCCAUUUGGCAAACCUCUCCAAAAGUAUUUACAUGACACUUCGUAAGAGUAGCAAAAGUAUGGCUGUGAAGUGGCAGAAAAAAUAAUGUUAUGUUUGGGGGUCACCACAACAUGAGGGACUGCACUAAAGGGUUGCUGCGUAAGGAAGGCUGAGAAGCGCUGCCUUAAGUGGACUAACCCCUUUACCCAGGACAACUGAUCUGACUGUGUAGGUCAUAGACUCAGCAGGGCUAACAACUACAUGGAAGAAUGAACACUUUCCACUUUUGUGUAUAUGCAGUAAUAGCUGGCAGAAUUUUUCUCUUCUCAUUUCCCCACAACUGGAUAGUUGACCUCCAUAUCAACAGGUUCUGUAGCCACAGAUUCAACCAACCAUGCAUCAAGAAAUGUUGGUGCUACAUAAUCUGCAGAUGACUUAAGGUAUGCGGCAGAUGUGCAACUUACAGGUAACUUCUAUACAUUAUAUAUAAGUCUUGAGCAUCUACGGGUUCUGGAAUCUCCAGGAGCUCCUGUGGGUACCAAAGGAUCACUGUAUCCUCCUAUAAUUUUUAAACUUUAAUUUUACUUUAUUUGAGACAGGAAUCUUGCACCAUAUCCCAGGUUGGCCUGGGACUCGUUUACUAGUCUCUCAAGGGCUGGGAUUACAGGUGUGUGCCACCAGGCCCAGCCGCUUACUUUUGAUAAGAGAGAAACUAAGAGUACUGGCUAUUCUUCCAGAAGACCCAUGUUCAAGUCCCAGCACCCACAUGGUCAUCACAAUCCUCUGUAUCUCCAGUUCCAAGGGCUGGCCUCCUCUAGCCUCCAGUGCAGGAUGCACAUAUGCAAGUGGUGUAAAACGUACAUGCAGGGGAAAACCCAUACACAUAGCAUUUUAAACAAAUAAAGGGCAAGCAAGA
This 3014-nucleotide long non-coding RNA is filed under the name Mus musculus (house mouse). RNAcentral describes it as "RIKEN cDNA D030028A08 gene". Lineage: Eukaryota; Metazoa; Chordata; Mammalia; Rodentia; Muridae. The record is from RNAcentral.